GACGAACGCUGGCGGCGUGCCUAAUACAUGCAAGUUGAGCGCUGAAGGUUGGUACUUGUACCAACUGGAUGAGCAGCGAACGGGUGAGUAACGCGUGGGGAAUCUGCCUUUGAGCGGGGGACAACAUUUGGAAACGAAUGCUAAUACCGCAUAAAAACUUUAAACACAAGUUUUAAGUUUGAAAGAUGCAAUUGCAUCACUCAAAGAUGAUCCCGCGUUGUAUUACUUGUUGGGUAGGGAAAGGCCCACCAAGGCGAUGAUACAUAGCCGACCUGGGAUGGUGCUCGGCCAAAUUGGGACUGAGACAAGGCCCAAACUCCUACGGGAGGCCGCAGUAGGGAAUCUUCGGCCAUGGACGAAAGUCUGACCGAGCAACGCCGCGUGAGUGAAGAAGGUUUUCGGAUCGUAAAACUCUGUUGGUAGAGAAGAACGUUGGUGAGAGUGGAAAGCUCAUCAAGUGACGGUAACUACACAGAAAGGGACGGCUAACUACGUG
RNAcentral lists this ribosomal RNA (496 nucleotides) under uncultured bacterium. Its description in RNAcentral is "partial 16S ribosomal RNA". It matches the Rfam family "Bacterial small subunit ribosomal RNA", at positions 28 to 507 of the family's 1533-position model. The record is from RNAcentral.